UUUCAAGCUUCGUCAGACCACAGAGAUCGAAAAUGGCGGGUGCUGGUGGCGGAAAGGUCUCCUUCAAAGUGACCCUCACCUCGGACCCUAAGCUCCCUUUCAAAGUGUUUAGUGUUCCAGAGGCCGCGCCAUUCACCGCUGUCCUUAAAUUUGCCGCUGAAGAAUUUAAGGUGCCAUCAUCACCAAUGAUGGCGUUGGAAUCAACCCUCAGCAAAGUGCUGGCAAUGUCUUCCUCAAGCACGGCUCUGAACUACGCCUGAUUCCUCGUGAUAGAGUCGGAGCUGCUGGAUCUAUGAGAAUGUAAACUACAAUACUCGCCUUAGUCAACUGGCUCCACACUUUUUUUUAUCACAUUACUGCAAUUGAUGAGAUGAGAACCAAUGUCUGCUUAUCCUUUCGAUUUCACUAGAAUCAAUAAAACAUAAAAAGUGUUUCGUCCCAUUGUUACAGGAUCCGAAUGAAGAAUUGCUAAUUAAUGAAAGGUCCUCUACAUCCCGGAUGAAACUUGAGAGUAUACUACUUCUAUGAAUAGCUCUUUAACGCUGCAUCUGAGAAAGCAAACGUCGAGAAAGAAAGCUUGAAUGAUCAAUGUCUGGACUGGAGAGCUUGAUUUGAAGCCGAAGUUGGAGAAGCAAGUGCAGAAAGCCAUAAGAAACUCGCAAAACUCUGUUUCCUCUUCCUGCCGAUUUCAGACAUUCUUAACAUUGGCAACAGAGCUCGAAAUGCUCUGCCCCAUCAAAACCCACCUUCCGCCGCUUGUCCAUGCUACACCACCGUCAUAUUCUUGUACACUACAAGAAACUUCGAUAAUCCUACAGUUCGAGCUCCUAUGCAGAUACCAAAUUUAGCGCACAGUAACGUAGCUGAAGCUAACCCCACAUUUCUCAUCAAGACGUACGAACAUGCCUGCAGAAGGAUAGUAUAAUUCCCACGUUUUUGUUACUCAUGUUUACGAACUGCAUAGCGAAGGAAUUGCGCCAUUGCGCGCAAGUUAGAGCUUUCAGGCGAGGCAAUUCCCUUCAUGCUUACUUGAGGAAAUUUGGGUGUUUGAACGAUGUGUUUAUUGCGAACAAUUUGAUUUCGAUGUACGCGGAGUUUUCGAAUUUACGAGAUGCAGAGAAGGUGUUUGAUGAAAUGUCUGACAGAAAUAUUGUUACUUGGACCACCCUGGUUUCUGCAUUUACUGAUAGUGGAAGACCUUAUGAGGCACUCCGAGUGUAUGAUGAUAUGCCGAAAUCUGAGACGGCCAAUGGGUACAUGUAUUCCGCGGUUUUGAAGGCAUGUGGGCUUGUGGGUGAUUUGGAUCGGGGUAAGUUAAUUCAAGAAAGAAUAUAUGGGGGUAAGUUGCAGGGUGAUACUAUUUUGAUGAAUUCUCUUAUGGAUAUGUAUGUGAAAUGUGGAAGCUUGAGUGAUGCGGUGAAGGUUUUUCACAAUAUUUCACGUGCGACCACAACUACUUGGAAUAUCAUUAUUUCUGGGUAUAGUAAGGCCGGUUUGAUGGUGGAGGCUGAAAAACUUUUUCAUUGUAUGCCACAGCCAAAUGUUGUGUCUUGGAACAGCAUGAUUGCUGGCUUUGCAGACAAUGGGAGUCAGCGGGCGUUGGAAUUUGUGUCCUUGAUGCACAGAAAGGGAAUUAAGCUUGAUGAUUUCACAUUUCCAUGUGCUUUAAAGAUCAGUGCGCUUCAUGGGUUAUUAGUCAUCGGGAAACAAAUUCAUUCCUAUGUCACCAAAUUGGGGCAUGGAUCUAGUUGUUUUACACUGUCUGCUCUGAUUGAUAUGUAUUCAAAUUGCAAUGGCCUGACCGAAGCAGUCAAGUUGUUUGACCAACACUCUUCCUUCAACCCUUCCAUUUCUGAGAACCUGGCACUGUGGAACUCGAUGCUCUCAGGAUAUGUUAUCAACAACUGUGACCAAGCUGCUUUGAAUUUGAUUUCAUACAUCCAUUGCUCGGGUACGAUAUUGGACUCUUACACCUUUGGUGGUGCUUUAAAGGUUUGCAUCAACUUAUUAAAUCCGAGGGUUGGUUUUCAAGUACAUGGUCUUAUUGUCACUUGUGGUUAUGAAUUGGAUUAUGUUGUUGGAAGCAUUGUUGUGGAUCUCUAUGCAAAACUAGGACGCAUCGACGAUGCAUUAGCACUGUUCCAUAGGCUUCCAAGGAAAGAUAUCAUAGCCUGGUCCGGUUUGAUCCUGGGGUGUGCUCAAAUGGGAUUGAACUGGUUAGCUUUCUCAGUGUUCAAAGAUAUGCUCGAGUUGGCUCAUGAAAUAGAUCAUUUUGUCAUUUCAACCACUCUGAAAGUCUGCUCCAAUUUAGCAUCUCUUAGAAGUGGAAAGCAGGUCCAUGCAUUCUGUGUCAAAAGUGGGUAUGAAAUGGAGGGGUUCACAAUAACAUCCCUUCUUGAUAUGUAUUCAAAAUGCGGUGAAAUUGAGGAUGCAUUAACAUUGUUUGAUUGUAUACAAGAAAAAGACAUAGUAACUUGGACUGGGAUCAUUGUAGGAUGUGGACAAAAUGGAAGGGCGGCAGAAGCUGUCAGGUUUUUUCAUGAGAUGAUUCAAUCAGGGCUAAAUCCAAAUGAAAUCACCUUUCUAGGGGUGCUUUCUGCAUGUCGAUAUGCUGGUUUGAUCGAAGAGGCACGAAACAUAUUUAAUUCCAUGAAAUCUGUAUAUGGACUAGAGCCUCAUUUAGAGCAUUAUUGCUGCAUGGUUGAUCUUCUUGCUCUAGCUGGGCUACCUGAAGAAGCUGAAAAAUUGAUAGCAAAUAUGCCGUUUGAGCCAGAUCAGACCACAUGGCGCACUUUGCUAGGGGCGUGUGGAACUCGUAACGAUACCAAGCUUAUUAACAGUGUUGCUAAUGGCCUUCUUGAAGCUACACCAGAUGACCCUUCAACGUACGUGUCACUUUCAAAUGCUUAUGCGUCGCUGGGGAUGUGGCAUAACCUAAGCAAAGCGAGGGAGGCUGCCAAAAAGGUGGGAGUCAAAAGAGCUGGGUUAAGCUGGAUUGAGGUUGCGAGUUGAAAAAAACUACUCCUGUACGGACUGCAUGGCAGGAAAAUAUCUAUUUGUAAACCUCUCUUGGAAUGAGAGUCAUCCCAUGCAAUUGGUAAAGUGAACACACAUGAAAAGGAGUGGCCGCUCUUGCUACCAAAGUUCAAAGAGACUCCACCUUUAUGUCUAUGAGUGGAGGAGGAAUAUUCAAGUGACAUAAAGUGAUGAUGCUAAACAACUAAUCAUGACAUCGGUCCCAGAGAGGAAAGACGCCCAGAAGCAGCCUUCAGACAUGAACCCACCAAGUCAAUUCAAACCCUAAAGUCGAGCGGGACAGAAUGGAUUAUUCCAAAAACGAACAAAAUGGUUUCUGGGCCCUGGCAAGAUCCGAAGGGCCUACUGUACCCACAGUACUUCGUACUUACAGCUGAAUAUGCCUCUAACAACUGCCCAAGACGGCGGCUUCUCUGCCUUCUGCGCCUUUGGUUUCUGGUUUUCAUG
RNA transcript from Cucurbita moschata (crookneck pumpkin), 3483 nucleotides. It is a transcript of the gene named pentatricopeptide repeat-containing protein At4g08210, with no coding region annotated. NCBI's taxonomy places the organism in Eukaryota, Viridiplantae, Streptophyta, Magnoliopsida, Cucurbitales, Cucurbitaceae. The record is from RefSeq and is a predicted model, not a curated record. The transcript has 8 exons.